RNAcentral lists this ribosomal RNA (271 nucleotides) under uncultured prokaryote. RNAcentral describes it as "partial 16S ribosomal RNA". It matches the Rfam family "Bacterial small subunit ribosomal RNA", at positions 524 to 794 of the family's 1533-position model. The record is from RNAcentral.
UACGUAGGUGGCGAGCGUUGUCCGGAUUUACUGGGCGUAAAGGGAGCGUAGGCGGACUUUUAAGUGAGAUGUGAAAUACCCGGGCUCAACUUGGGUGCUGCAUUUCAAACUGGAAGUCUAGAGUGCAGGAGAGGAGAAUGGAAUUCCUAGUGUAGCGGUGAAAUGCGUAGAUAUUAGGAGGAAUACCAGUUGCGAAGGCGGCUCUCUGGACUGUAACUGACACUGAGGCACGAAAGCGUGGGGAGCAAACAGGAUUAGAUACCCGGGUAGU